RNAcentral lists this ribosomal RNA (498 nucleotides) under uncultured bacterium. RNAcentral describes it as "partial 16S ribosomal RNA". It matches the Rfam family "Bacterial small subunit ribosomal RNA", at positions 29 to 523 of the family's 1533-position model. The record is from RNAcentral.
AUUGAACGCUGGCGGCAUGCCUUACACAUGCAAGUCGAACGGUAACGCGGGGCAACCUGGCGACGAGUGGCGAACGGGUGAGUAAAGCAUCGGAACGUGCCCAGUAGUGGGGGAUAGCCCGGCGAAAGCCGGAUUAAUACCGCAUACGACCUAAGGGUGAAAGGGGGGGAUCGCAAGACCUCUCGCUAUUGGAGCGGCCGAUGUCAGAUUAGCUAGUUGGUGGGGUAAAAGCUCACCAAGGCGACGAUCUGUAGCUGGUCGGAGAGGACGACCAGCCACACUGGGACUGAGACACGGACCAGACUCCUACGGGAGGCAGCAGUGGGGAAUUUUGGAUAAUGGACGAAAGUCUGAUCCAGCCAUGCCGCGUGCGGGAAGAAGGCCUUCGGGUUGUAAACCGCUUUUGUCAGGGAAGAAAUCCUUUGAGCUAAUACCUCGGGGGGAUGACGGUACCUGAAGAAUAAGCACCGGCUAACUACGUGCCAGCCGCCGCCGUAA